CACGUAGGGUGCGAGCGUUAAUCGGAAUUACUGGGCGUAAAGCGUGCGCAGGCGGCUUGCUAAGACCGAUGUGAAAUCCCCGGGCUCAACCUGGGAACUGCAUUUGUGACUGCAUGGCUAGAGUUUGGCAGAGGGGGGUAGAAUUCCACGUGUAGCAGUGAAAUGCGUAGAUAUGUGGAGGAACACCGAUGGCGAAGGCAGCCCCCUGGGUCAAGACUGACGCUCAUGCACGAAAGCGUGGGGAGCAAACAGG
RNAcentral lists this ribosomal RNA (253 nucleotides) under uncultured bacterium. Its description in RNAcentral is "partial 16S ribosomal RNA". It matches the Rfam family "Bacterial small subunit ribosomal RNA", at positions 524 to 776 of the family's 1533-position model. The record is from RNAcentral.